Molecule: RNA transcript, 1161 nt
Organism: Triticum aestivum (bread wheat)
Lineage: Eukaryota; Viridiplantae; Streptophyta; Magnoliopsida; Poales; Poaceae
Exons: 2
Source: RefSeq, a predicted model, not a curated record
AAGACGGAGGACGACAUCGAGCUGAGGUGAGCCAUUGCCAAUUUGCCAUGAUACACAAGAAUGGAAGUGAUUUGUUUCUAAUUCUGGCACAAAAACUAAUAGAAGUCAUGUAUUAUGGUUUUUAAUGCUUGUGUAUUUUUCUGUGAUCUUUAGAAGAAUUGUACCCUGAGAAAAUUUGAGAAAUCAAUUGUAUGUAACUUCGGAAAUUAAGUAUGUUGGUAGCAUUCUGAUGUUUAAUAUACUAGGUGACACCCCGCACGUUGAUGAUUGUAUGUAACUUUGGAAAUUAAGUAGUGGGGGUGGGCCUUUUCGCAUGCAUGUUAUGUGAUGAUGCGGCAUGCUUGCAUGUUGAGAGAAAUAGUUAGAGGGGGUAGCUAUUUAAAUAUAGAAGAUACCAGGGAUCAUACAACAUGUGAAAAGUCAUUAAUAGCAACAUAUUUAGUAUGACCUUGUUAAAGUGAUGGUCUACGUGACAGCUUUCAAUAAAGCACUAAGCCUCAAUUGAACUGACAAUAUCUUGAGAAAGAGAAAGGUUAUAUGCUACAAAGGUUGUUUAAAAUGUCGAUUUGUUGGAUAAACAAACUAUGGUAUAUACAUCCUUGGUGAACUUAGUUAUGUAUAUGUACAUUUGUGAGUGUUGAAUAAUGUCGCCAUGUUGUGGAUUUGGUGUUGACUUGCCUAAUUUCUGUAGUAUUAUAUGUUUCAUGCAGGCAAAUAUUUAAGGUAAGGGCGAUGGCUCUAUUAUAUUGGAGUGUAAAUUAUUUGAGUAAUGUAUAUUUAUAUAUCUGUUGCCCCUGCUCCUCUUGUAGCAACACGAGCCACAUUGAAGCCUGUGGACAAGAAAGUUCUUAUCAAGUCCGCCGCUCGCCUUGAGCAGCGCACGAAGAACGCUACCGACUUCGAUGAGCAUAGAUGUCGUUAGAGGAUGCUGUCGGUGGCUCUGCCCUCAAGAUCUGUAGGAAGGUCAUCAACAAGCUCACCUCUAUGCUCAACCAUUGCCUCAAGGUGAUCCUCGGUGGAACACAUCGGACCAGGUUGUCGUGGGUGUUGUUGCGGAAAAUGAGGAGAACAUCACGAGACUGAAAUGGGCAUGCCGUACCUUGGAGACAACAAUCAUGGAGAUCUUAGCAAACCUUGGGUGGAUGUCUAAUAGAAGAAUUU